CACAUCCUGAAGUAUUCGUAUAUGCCUAUAUAAAUUCAACCUACAAAUUGUAUACGGGAGCUUGAGUUCUAUACUGGAUGACAUGCCACCUUAGGAAGUGGAAGACAGAAUGUAUAGACAAAGCACCCACCUAGGUGAACCUGGGUGUGAAUUUAGUAGGUAAACGGUACUUCGGGUUAAAG
This 182-nucleotide non-coding RNA is filed under the name Alkalithermobacter paradoxus. RNAcentral's name for it is "Clostridium thermoalcaliphilum 6S / SsrS RNA". It matches the Rfam family "6S / SsrS RNA". From Rfam's summary of the family: E. coli 6S RNA was the first non coding RNA to be sequenced, but its function was unknown until recently. Lineage: Bacteria; Bacillati; Bacillota; Clostridia; Peptostreptococcales; Tepidibacteraceae. The record is from Rfam by way of RNAcentral.